GAUCUAGCUCAGGACGAACGCUGGCGGCGUGCCUAACACAUGCAAGUCGAACGGAGAAUUUUAUUUCGGUAGAAUUCUUAGUGGCGAACGGGUGAGUAACGCGUAGGCAACCUGCCCUUUAGACGGGGACAACAUUCCGAAAGGAGUGCUAAUACCGGAUGUGAUCAUCUUGCCGCAUGGCAGGAUGAAGAAAGAUGGCCUCUACAAGUAAGCUAUCGCUAAAGGAUGGGCCUGCGU
Molecule: ribosomal RNA, 237 nt
Filed under: uncultured bacterium
Lineage: Bacteria
Description: partial 16S ribosomal RNA
Rfam family: Bacterial small subunit ribosomal RNA
Source: RNAcentral